CCUAGGCUCUCAGAGACGAUGAAGGACGUGAUAAGCUGCGAUAAGCUACGGUGAUCAGCACAUAUGAAUUGAUCCGUAGAUUUCCGAAUGGGGCAACCCGGCUGGUUGAAGACCAGUCAUCCCGACUUGUCGGGAAGUGAACCCGGAGAACUGAAACAUCUAAGUACCCGGAGGAAAAGAAAUCAACCGAGAUUCCCUAAGUAGCGGCGAGCGAACGGGGACUAGCCCUUAAGCUAGACAACUGGUAGGAGAAGGCUCUGGAAAGUGCCGCCAUAGUGGGUGAUAGCCCCGUAUCCGAAACCUGAGUCUGGUGAAAUCGAGUAGGACGGGACACGUGAUAUCCUGUCUGAACAUGGGGGGACCAUCCUCCAAGGCUAAAUACUCCUUAUCGACCGAUAGUGAACCAGUACCGUGAGGGAAAGGCGAA
This 427-nucleotide ribosomal RNA is filed under the name Symbiodinium sp. CCMP2430. Its description in RNAcentral is "partial Bacterial large subunit ribosomal RNA". It matches the Rfam family "Bacterial large subunit ribosomal RNA", at positions 31 to 518 of the family's 2925-position model. The record is from RNAcentral. Lineage: Eukaryota; Dinophyceae; Suessiales; Symbiodiniaceae.